This 404-nucleotide ribosomal RNA is filed under the name Camarotoscena fulgidipennis. RNAcentral describes it as "partial large subunit ribosomal RNA". The stretch from base 53 to 404 matches the Rfam family "Bacterial large subunit ribosomal RNA", at positions 2048 to 2652 of the family's 2925-position model. The record is from RNAcentral. Lineage: Eukaryota; Metazoa; Arthropoda; Insecta; Hemiptera; Liviidae.
AUGGCUAGACGGAAAUUAAACUUUUUUAUUUUUAUGAAAAUCGAAUUUAGUUUUUUAGUUAAAAAACUAAAAUAAUUUUAAGGGACGAUAAGACCCUAUAGAAUUUAAUAAUAAGAAUGAAUAACAUUUUUUUGUUGGGGUGACAAGUAAUAAACUUUUCUUUUUUUUCCAUGAAAAAUGGUUUAAAGAUCCUAAUAGUUAGAUAAAAGGAUAAAAUUACCUUAGGGAUAACAGCAUCAUUUUUUUUAGAAGAUCUAAUUUAUAAAAAAGAUUAUGACCUCGAUGUUGAAUUAAAAAUAUGGUUAGGUGCAGAAUUUUAAUCAUUUAGUCUGUUCGACUUUAAAAUUUUACAUGAUUUGAGUUCAAACCGGCGUGAGCCAGGUUGGUUUCUAUCUUUUGAAUUC